GGGAAGCUCGGCGGGGCGCGCCCGAGGCUCCCGGCCGUCUGAACGCGGGGGCCCGUGAGCGACGCGCCGGGGGGGGGGGCAUGUUAUCCCCCCCUGCGGGCGGGGGAAGCCAAAGGGGCGCUCUCCCGGGGGGGCGUUUUCCCGGCCCCGCCCCAGCGCAGGGGCGACUCGGGACGGACUUGGAGUUAGGGUCCUAACCCCGGCGGGACGGAGACGGUCUGGCCGCCGCAGUACGACGCGCUGAGCUGCUGCGGUCGGUUCAGUUCCGUGAAGCGGUGAAAUAAAAACAACAACAACAGGCCGCUGCCACCAAUGACGCAGCCGAGUUUCCCGCCUCCGGGGCAAUGGCUGGGGUCAGCACCCCCGCAGCGCAAUGGCUGAGCCUCGCCCUGGGGAAACCACCUUCCUGGUCAUGGUCUCGCCGCUGCCGCCUGGAGACGCUCAACUAGACCGAGCCCUGGCGUGUGACUGACCCACCGAAACACACCGUGUAACCUACAGGCACCCUACCCCUUUUGUUCCCUUCAUAAAGCUUAGAAUGAUGGUGAAGGCAUGAAAGAUAGAAUAGUCACUAAUACAAGCCGUAGAGAAAAGAGGAAGAGAGAGCCAACAGAAAAGUACCAUGAGUUCACCCCUAAGACAAGUGCAACUCUUUAAUGCAAACGGGAGACACAUGAACAAGAGGAAGGGCUCCUCAAAUCUUUACGGCAACAUAAGGAUACCCCAGUGCUGAGAAUGGAUGACUGCAUCACAGACCAUACCCAGAGCCCUGUGAUCUGAAGAGGUCACCCUUAAAGUGUUUGUAAUGAAAAGAAGGAAGACUGCUUGGAUUGAGUCCCACUGUAAACCCAUAACACUGCAAACAGAAGCCUUCUCCACUCCUGUUCUAGGAGAAUCCUGAGUAUAUUGGAUGUGGGAAGGACUACCAGGCUGUGCAGAAUAUAGGGAUAAUUAAUAUCGUUGAGCAGAUUUCUGCCACAAGACGAGCACGUAGAUUUGGCUCGAUGUAAGUAAUGCCCUGUGGUUUAGAGUAUGUACACAUUUAUCAAGACCAUGCAGACCUUGGUUAUUACCGACCCUACAGAACGGAACCUGUGUGUGAAGACUCACUGCUCAAGUGCAACACUAUGGGGAAAACCUUUGUCCUGUUUAAGUCAACAGGAGUUUUGCCAUUGACUUUGGUGGGGGCAGGACUUCACUCUAUAACAAAUGGCAGGUAUCAGAUGUACAUACAAGAAGAAAUAAAAAUUAAGGCAAGGAAAAAGAUUUCACUUUGCAGAUAUCAACUUAUAAAUGACAGUGGGGAAAAAUUACAUGAAAAAUUCCUUAACAAGGGCCUUUAAAUUCAAACGGCACUUGGCUUAAAAAAAUCCACAAAAUAAAUGGGGAAACUGCCCUGCUCACUGCUAGGAAAAAGCCAAACUAUGGGACUAACUGAAAGACAGCUGCUUUCUGAUGUAAUUCAACCCCUAACACCACGAUACAAUGGAGCAGGGUGUUGGGAAACCUAAUUCUCUUUUCUGGAUUGCUUUAAUAAUGCUGCAAAGAAGAGAUGUACCAGUUGCCAAAUUAAAUGGAUCAAGAAAGUUCUCUGUAACUUAAAAAUAGGAAAUAAACUUAGAAACAUUUCAACUAUCAGCCCCUCUUCAGUAAUGAUUAGCAAACACAAAGCAGGAUUAACUCCACUGUAAGAGUUGCCAAACUGCUUUGAUGAUUAAUUUGGGCAGUGCCAAACACAAGGGACGGUAUGUGCUAUACAUGCAGCGUGCUGCAAUUUUGUUUCUCUUGGCAGCUUGUUCCAGCUAUUACCAUGUGGUCUUGAAAGGGCAUAUAAAUGCAUUUUCCUUUUGUCCUUGGGUGCAGGACAAAGAUUGUCCCACUGCUGAAGUUUCCAUCUGGUUAUAACAGUCCUGGGUAUAUGCACCAUGGUGGGAACACAUUUGUUAGUAAUGCAUAUGAUAAGCAGAGAUAUCUUUAGGGUGACUCCCUGCACAAAGAAGCAUGUUUGGGAAGAAAGGAAGCCCCUGUUCUCCCACAUAUGGGAGUGGGGGCAAAAGAUCUAUCUGGUUUUAAGAUUCUACUUGAUAAGUUUAUGGAGGAGAUGGUAUGAUGGGAUAAUGGGAUUUUGGUAAGUAAUUGAUCUUUAAAUAUUCAGGGUAAAUAGG
This is a long non-coding RNA of Dermochelys coriacea (leatherback sea turtle), 2165 nucleotides long. RefSeq lists it as uncharacterized. The record is from RefSeq and is a predicted model, not a curated record. NCBI's taxonomy places the organism in Eukaryota, Metazoa, Chordata, Testudines, Dermochelyidae. The transcript has 4 exons.